AAGGAUAUGCUUAGCUUGACAAAUGGAGCUAUUGGCUUUGAAUUGUAUUGUGGAAAUGUAUUACCAACAGAGGUGCAGGUGCCAGCCUAUUGAAAUAAAGCGUCAAUGAGGGUGAGAAUCCUGUUUGUCAUGUGCAGCCCUUUGUGCACGGUGUAUAUUUGCUGAGUCACACUCCUUGGCAUUGGAAUGCAAAGUGGGUGGUAAGUUUCAUGUAAAGGUAAACAUGCAAUUGAGACUGAUAGCACACAAGUACCAUGAGGGAAAUAUGAAAAGGACUUUGAAAAGAGAAUUAAAUGAGUUUGUAUUUGCUGAACACAAAGUAAACAGACUUGAUUUGCUUGGUGGGAGUGUUGCACUUGCUUGACAAGAGCUUUGGGCUGUGGGUGUAAUGAUUCUUUCUUUGCAUGCCAGUUUCUAUUUGUACAUCUGAUUACCUUUGCACAUGAAUGAUAAGUCUCCUGUGGGGGGUGGAUUGCAUGUGCAUGUAAUGAUUUGUGUUUUGAUAAAUGUGUCUGGUGUAUGUGUGUGUUCCUGUGCUUGGGGAUGCUUCCUUCCUUGGACUUACAAGCCCUGACACACACAUGCUGGCAAAAUGCUUCUGCUUGACCCGUCUUGAAACACGGACCAAGGAGUCUAACAGAUGUGCAAAGUUUGAAGGUGGUAUACCUUUGUGUGCAAUGAAAGUGUCAGCUGGGAUAUGUGCACCAGCACCCAAUUAAUUAGCGGACAGAGGUUUGAGUUGGAGCAUAUCUAUUAGGACCCGAAAGAUGGUGAACUAUGCCUGAACAGAAUGAAUUCAGAGGAAACUCUGAUGGAGGUUCGUAUCGAUACUGACGUGCAAAUCGUUCGUCAUAUUUGGGUAUAGGGGCGAAAGACUAAUCGAACCAUCUAGUAGCUGGUUCCCUCCGAAGUUUCCCUCAGGAUAGCUGGAGUUGCUCAGUUUUAUCAGGUAAAGCGAAUGAUUAGAGGAAUUGGGGACAGGUUUGUCUUUGACCUAUUCUCAACUUUAA
This 1010-nucleotide ribosomal RNA is filed under the name Alexandrium catenella. Its description in RNAcentral is "partial large subunit ribosomal RNA". It matches the Rfam family "Eukaryotic large subunit ribosomal RNA", at positions 99 to 1068 of the family's 3401-position model. Lineage: Eukaryota; Dinophyceae; Gonyaulacales; Pyrocystaceae. The record is from RNAcentral.